GCCUAACACAUGCAAGUCGAAGGAGAAGGGUGGUGCUUGCACCACCUGGAGACUGGCGCACGGGUGAGUAACGCGUAGACAACCUGCCUAUAACUGGGGGAUAACAUCGGGAAACCGGUGCUAAUACCGCAUACAAUGCUGAGCUCGCAUGAGCUUAGGAUGAAAAACUUCGGUUGGUUAUAGAUGGGUCUGCGUGCCAUUAGCUAGUUGGUGGGGUAAAAGCCUACCAAGGCAGUGAUGGCUAGGGGGUCUGAGAGGAUGAUCCCCCACACUGGGACUGAGACACGGCCCAGACUCCUACGGGAGGCAGCAGUGAGGAAUCUUGCGCAAUGGGGGAAACCCUGACGCAGCCACGCCGCGUGCUGGAAGAAGGCCCUAUGGGUUGUAAACAGCUUUUACAUGGGAAGAAUGUACGGGUUUCGACCUGUAUUGACGGUACCAUAUGAAUAAGCACCGGCUAACUCCGUGCCAGCAGCCGCGGUAAUACGGAGGGUGCAAGCGUUGUCCGGAAUCAUUGGGUGUAAAGGGUGCGUAGGCGGAUGCCUAAGUCCGAGGUGAAAUCUUGCCGCUUAACGGUAAAAUUGCCUUGGAUACUGGGUGUCUUGAAUCUGACAGAGGUCGGUGGAAUUCGUGGUGUAGCGGUGAAAUGCAUAGAUAUCACGAAGAACAUCAGUGGCGAAGGCGGCCGGCUGGGUCAGUAUUGACGCUGAGGCACGAGAGCGUGGGGAGCGAACAGGAUUAGAUACCCUGGUAGUCCACGCUGUAAACGAUGUAUGCUAGUUGUUGGGCCUUCGGGUUCAGUGACGCAGUUAACGCAGUAAGCAUACCACCUGGGGAGUACGUUCGCAAGAAUGAAACUCAAAGGAAUUGACGGGGGCCCGCACAAGCGGUGGAGCAUGUGGCUUAAUUCGAUGCAACGCGAAGAACCUUACCCGGGCUAAAUCCUGGCCGACCGGUCCCGAAACGGACCUUCCCUUCGGGGCGACCAGGAAGGUGCUGCAUGGCUGUCGUCAGCUCGUGCCGUGAGGUGUUGCCUUAAGUGGCGCAACGGGCGCAACCCCUGUGGUUAGUUACCAGCACGUAAUGGUGGGGACUCUAGCCAGACUGCCUACGCAAGUAGUGAGGAAGGUGGGGACGACGUCAAGUCAUCAUGGCCCUUAUGUCCGGGGCUGCACACGUGCUACAAUGGAUGGUACAGAGGGAAGCUACCCAGCGAUGGGAUGCAGAUCUCGAAAGCCAUUCCCAGUUCGGAUUGGAGUCUGCAACUCGACUCCAUGAAGGUGGAAUCGCUAGUAAUCGCGUAUCAGCAAUGACGCGGUGAAUACGUUCCCGGGCCUUGUACACACCGCCCGUCAAGCGAUGGAAGUCAGGAGUACCUGAUGUCACCGUGCUAAUCCCGAUUUAUCGGGAAGGCAGGUGCCUAGGGUAAGCUUGGUAACUGGCGCUAAGUCGUAACAAGGUAGCCGUACCGGAAGGUGCGGCUGGAUCACCUCCUUA
This 1497-nucleotide ribosomal RNA is filed under the name uncultured bacterium. RNAcentral describes it as "bacterial SSU rRNA". It matches the Rfam family "Bacterial small subunit ribosomal RNA". The record is from RNAcentral.